RNAcentral lists this ribosomal RNA (245 nucleotides) under uncultured bacterium. RNAcentral describes it as "partial 16S ribosomal RNA". It matches the Rfam family "Bacterial small subunit ribosomal RNA", at positions 526 to 771 of the family's 1533-position model. The record is from RNAcentral.
CGGAAGGUCCGGGCGUUAUCCGGAUUUAUUGGGUUAAAGGGAGCGUAGGCCGGAGAUUAAGCGUGUUGUGAAAUGUAGAACGCUCACGUCUGCACUGCAGCGCGAACUGGUUUCCUUGAGUACGCACAAAGUGGGCGGAAUUCGUGGUGUAGCGGUGAAAUGCUUAGAUAUCACGAAGAACUCCGAUUGCGAAGGCAGCUCACUGGAGCGCAACUGACGCUGAAGCUCGAAAGUGCGGGUAUCGA